AAAGAGGAAAAAGGAUAAGAAUGUCUAGCCAGUAGAAUUGGGGAAAAGAAGUGCCCAAAAACAAAAAACAACAAAGAAUGUGAAAAAGGGGAAGAAUAUAAUUCAAUAGACGUGAGGCGGCUUUGCUUGCAUUGAAAGGGGACAAUGCCAAUGCAAUGCAAAAUGGGUAAUCCAAAAAGGAGGGGCUUACAGAAAGUUGGCCCCCUUUUCACUUUGGAAUGAAUAUGAUCACCCCCACAGCACUUCCCACUAAUGCACAGCCAUUACGCUAUUGCAAAAUUAUACAUCAUCUACCCAAAAGGCUUCUCCUCUCCUCCC
This 318-nucleotide long non-coding RNA is filed under the name Ricinus communis (castor bean). RNAcentral's name for it is "long non-coding RNA (RCOM_LNC000262)". Lineage: Eukaryota; Viridiplantae; Streptophyta; Magnoliopsida; Malpighiales; Euphorbiaceae. The record is from RNAcentral.